RNAcentral lists this ribosomal RNA (213 nucleotides) under uncultured bacterium. RNAcentral describes it as "partial 16S ribosomal RNA". It matches the Rfam family "Bacterial small subunit ribosomal RNA", at positions 524 to 733 of the family's 1533-position model. The record is from RNAcentral.
UACGAAGGGGGCAAGCGUUGUUCGGAAUUACUGGGCGUAAAGGGCGCGUAGGCGGUGCACUAAGUCAGGCGUGAAAGCCCUGGGCUCAACCCGGGAAUUGCGCUUGAUACUGGUGCGCUUGAAUCCAGGAGAGGUUGGUGGAAUUCCCAGUGUAGAGGUGAAAUUCGUAGAGAUUGGGAAGAACACCGGGCGGCGAAAGGCGGCCGAACUUGG